Molecule: ribosomal RNA, 253 nt
Filed under: uncultured bacterium
Lineage: Bacteria
Description: partial 16S ribosomal RNA
Rfam family: Bacterial small subunit ribosomal RNA
Source: RNAcentral
GACAGAGGUCCCGAGCGUUAGGCGGAAUCACUGGGCUUAAAGCGUGUGUAGGCGGACUUCUAAGUACCUUGUGAAAUCCCACGGCUCAACCGUGGAACUGCUUGGUAUACUGGUUGUCUUGGGCCAUCUAGGGGCGAGCGGAACAAACGGUGGAGCGGUGAAAUGCGUAGAUAUCGUUUGGAACGCCAAUGGUGAAAACAGCUCGCUGGGGAUGUGCCGACGCUGAGACACGAAAGCCAGGGGAGCGAACGGG